CUUCCCCUUCGUUGUCGUUUUCGCCAUUUUUUUCGUCGUUUCUGUUGGUUUCUCCGUUAAUAAAGCCCGACUCUUGCCGUUUGGAGACAUCGAUCGACUUCGGACCUGACGAGUCAUGUUGAAUAACAAGUUAAAACAAUUCAAAAUUUUCUUUUAAGGAGAAUACAGGAGGAAUUAGAAAAUGGGUUUCUCAGAUUCCUUAGGAUUUUCCGGGAAAAGAGUUCCCCGAUCAACCAUUGUGAUUGUGGUGCC
Molecule: unclassified non-coding RNA, 252 nt
Filed under: Hevea brasiliensis (rubber tree)
Lineage: Eukaryota; Viridiplantae; Streptophyta; Magnoliopsida; Malpighiales; Euphorbiaceae
Source: RNAcentral